CAAGUCGAACGGCAGCGGGGGCUUCGGCCUGCCGGCGAGUGGCGAACGGGUGAGUAAUGCAUCGGAACGUACCCAGUCGUGGGGGAUAACUACGCGAAAGCGUAGCUAAUACCGCAUACGCCCUGAGGGGGAAAGCGGGGGACCUUCGGGCCUCGCGCGAUUGGAGCGGCUGAUGUCGGAUUAGCUAGUUGGUGGGGUAAAGGCCUACCAAGGCGACGAUCCGUAGCUGGUCUGAGAGGAUGAUCAGCCACACUGGGACUGAGACACAGCCCAGACUCCUACGGGAGGCAGCAGUGGGGAAUUUUGGACAAUGGGGGAAACCCUGAUCCAGCCAUGCCGCGUGAGUGAAGAAGGCCUUCGGGUUGUAAAGCUCUUUCGGCCGGGAAAAAAUUGCACGGAUGAACAGUCUGUGUAGAUGAUGGUACCGGACUAAGAAGCACCGGCUAACUACGUGCCAGCAGCCGCGG
RNAcentral lists this ribosomal RNA (467 nucleotides) under uncultured bacterium. RNAcentral describes it as "bacterial SSU rRNA". It matches the Rfam family "Bacterial small subunit ribosomal RNA", at positions 58 to 520 of the family's 1533-position model. The record is from RNAcentral.